Molecule: ribosomal RNA, 441 nt
Filed under: uncultured bacterium
Lineage: Bacteria
Description: partial 16S ribosomal RNA
Rfam family: Bacterial small subunit ribosomal RNA
Source: RNAcentral
CCUACGGGUGGCAGCAGUGGGGGAUAUUGCACAAUGGGGGAAACCCUGAUGCAGCGACGCCGCGUGGGUGAAGAAGUAUUUCGGUAUGUAAAGCCCUAUCAGCAGGGAAGAAAGAAGACGGUACCUGACUAAGAAGCCCCGGCUAACUACGUGCCAGCAGCCGCGGUAAUACGUAGGGGGCGAGCGUUAUCCGGAUUCACUGGGUGUAAAGGGAGCGUAGACGGCCGUGCAAGCCAGGAGUGAAAGCCCGGGGCCCAACCCCGGGACGGCUCUUGGAACUGUGCGGCUGGAGUGCGGGAGGGGCAGGCGGAAUUCCUGGUGUAGCGGUGAAAUGCGUAGAUAUCAGGAGGAACACCGGCGGCGAAGGCGGCCUGCUGGACCGCGACUGACGUUGAGGCUCGAAAGCGUGGGGAGCGAACAGGAUUAGAUACCCUGGUAGUC